RNAcentral lists this unclassified non-coding RNA (348 nucleotides) under fungal sp. Its description in RNAcentral is "partial internal transcribed spacer region". The stretch from base 1 to 44 matches the Rfam family "Eukaryotic small subunit ribosomal RNA", at positions 1788 to 1831 of the family's 1831-position model. The record is from RNAcentral. Lineage: Eukaryota; Fungi.
GUCGUAACAAGGUUUCCGUAGGUGAACCUGCGGAAGGAUCAUUACCACACCGAUCCACGAUCUUUCUUCCCGCGAAGCGUCGUCCCGAUGAAGCUGGUGGGUCUGGUGGCGUGGUGUUUCACUUGAUGGUGUGCACCGCGUCGCUGCCCACUGGUGGGACGGCAAACACAAAGUGCCGUCUGCAUGCCGUCAUACGGUGUGCGGAUGGUGCGCCCCGUCACUUUUACGACGUAAACCAGUCUUGACCCAAAGUAACUGAACCGAAAGGGGUGGUUGGCCGCAUGGCCAGCAACCCUAUUAAAGUAAACAAUACCUUACAACUUUCAGCGAUGGAUGUCUAGGUUCCCA